GGAGGGGGCAAGCGUUAUUCGGAUUUACUGGGCGUAAAGCGCACGUAGGCGGCCAAGCAUGUCGACGGUGAAAGCCCUCGGCUCAACCGAGGAAUUGCCUUCGAAACUGCCUGGCUUGAGUCCGGGAGGGGGGAGCGGAAUUCCCAGUGUAGCGGUGAAAUGCGUAGAUACUGGGAGGAACACCGGUGGCGAAGGCGGCUCCCUGGACCGGUACUGACGCUGAGGUGCGAAAGCGUGGGUAGCAAACAGGAUUAGAUACCCUGGUAGUCCACGCCGUAAACGAUGGGCACUAGGUGCAGCGGGUGUCGACCCCCUGCUGUGCCGAAGUUAACGCAUUAAGUGCCCCGCCUGGGGGAGUACGGUCGCAAGGCUG
RNAcentral lists this ribosomal RNA (373 nucleotides) under uncultured organism. RNAcentral's name for it is "partial 16S ribosomal RNA". It matches the Rfam family "Bacterial small subunit ribosomal RNA", at positions 527 to 896 of the family's 1533-position model. The record is from RNAcentral.